UCUUUCUCUUUCUCUCUCUCUCUCUCUCUCUUUCUCUCUCUCUUUUGCAAUACCAGGUUAUUUUGGCUUGCAAUUCAGGUCCUGCUCUGAAUGACGUCACGUAUAACGAAUCCUUGCUUGUGGCGGAAAGGAUUGCGACUAUGGACAGUGUAAUUCGAACUGCCCUGAAGGAAGAGAAGCUCCUCUUGGUCCAGACCGGCUCCAGUUCGCCCUGCUUGGACCUCAGCCGCCUGGACAAGGGCCUGGCCAGCCU
Molecule: non-coding RNA, 253 nt
Organism: Notechis scutatus (mainland tiger snake)
Lineage: Eukaryota; Metazoa; Chordata; Lepidosauria; Squamata; Elapidae
Source: RefSeq, a predicted model, not a curated record